AGUGACUUUGCCAUAACCAGCUGAGUUCUUAUGAUAUAUUCCUGCGACCUGCAGCACUUUUUAAAAACAUUCAUAUUUUCUAGAUAUUUUGGUCAGAAGCACACUUACUUAGUUCAGAUAUUUUACGUCAGUGGUUCUCUGCUGGAAAGGUGUAGCAGAAGCAUUUGGUAGCUUUUGCCAGGUGUAUACAUACACCCAGCAGCUUCCCACCUUUGAGGAAGAGUUGGAGAAGCAGUGGGGCAAACUGAAAUUUAGGUAUGUGGGGUUAGAAGAAGCCAAAUGGAUAAUCUAUCUUAUCUCAACCCUCAAACUUUAAGAAUUAUGGUUCCAAGUGGAAUCUCUGCUUCUCAACAACAAAUAAAAUCCUAAGUCAUUGAAACAACUACCUAACACAGACCUACACCUGAAGUGGCAAGUUAUCCAGCAUCCAUUUGAAUAAAUCGACUUAGCUUUUGUGUGGUUUUACUAUGCUUGUAUUUUGCUAAAAAAAAAAACCCUACAUGUAGAGUCUGAAACCCUGAGUUGCUCCUUGUUAAAUGCUCUUGCAUGUUUGAGCUCUUGUAUGUAUGAUCUUAGUCUUUCAUGUUUUAAAGAAUUUUUUCCUCUUUAUUCAUAAAGUGUUGAGCAAAAGGCUGGAGUGGUGCCGAAGUUUUAUGUUUCUUUCACAAAGAAUUGUUAUUGGAAGUUGUUUGCUUAGUAUAUACCAGGAAAUUAAUGAUUUUAACAUUUUUUAAUUUAAAGUUACUACUCAAAAGUGGACAGAUUCCAAGGCAACUAAGAGAUCCUUUACUUUGAGAAAAAUUUAUGGGAGUGAAAACCUUUUCUUUUUGUAAACAGUUGCUGAUAUACAAUAUCCUCUGGGGUGCCAGUUCUGGUAUUUAUGUUUUAAUUAAAGAGCACCCUGCCUCUCUAUUUGUGGGCCACUUAAAAGGAGUGGGUGUCUUGGUGAGAAGUUCACAAGGUUGGUGGCUGUAGCUGAGUUUAGGAUUGACUUAGCUGGGGCAGCAGUGGUCUAUGAAUGCCAAGUGCUAGGAAUGUUUGGAAUGUAGACUUGCCAGCACUGAUAGGGUUUGCUUUGUUCCCUCGUGUGACUUGACCCAUUGAGAAGUUGUGAUUCCCUAGGAAGUUUUAAUAGUUCAAAGUGUUUAGUUAAUAAAGAGAAUGGCCACAACAUAAUUCAGCUUGUUUUCACCUGCUGCCUCAAAGAUUAACUUUCUUAACCAUAAUGGGAUAGAACUACCCUUUGCUUUGAAAAAGAAAUUUAUGGAGCUCAUCACAUUUGUUAGUUUCCACAAACAUGAAGCUCUCUGUGGGGAUUUUUGUAUCAUAAAAUCCCAAGGCAUUGGCAGCUUAACCUUGUGGUAACUUCAUCUAAAACCCAAUCUCAGAGAAAGGGCACACCCGCCGUAUCAGCUUAAUCUUUCACUAGACUCAGAAGGGUUUUGAAUUACUUCAGGAAAAGUAGUGACUGAUAGAGCUUAACCUUCCGUUUUCCUCAUUUAUUUUCAUUAGAGAAUGGGAGUGGAAUUCAGAACAUUCAGAUGUGGAGUUAACGUGCGUCACUGCUGCCAGCCCCUGCUGCCAGCGAUAGGUUCUGUGUUUUUCCAGUGGGAAACUCAGAUCCACAGACUGAUCCUGCAGACCGGCACCUCCUUGCCUUUUCUGCUUUCCUCCUGAUUGUUGCUUAUUCCUUCAAACAUCAGCUGACUGGACAAGGCCUCUAUGAACGCGGGUUUCAGAACAAAGGUGAUCUGUAGAAGCAGCACGUCACAGUGCUUCGAAAUGUCUUAUGAGUGGUGUGCUUCCAAUAAUGGCACGGGAACAGAAUCCAUUCUCGAGCAGAGAGGAGGGUAAGUUUUUUCCGUGCUAAUGAUCCAGGAAUGGAGCACUCCCUGGGAAGCCCUCAGGAAAGGUCUUGUACAAAUCAAUACUGCCAGUCAAGUGUUUCUUCCACUGGGGAUAUCAAGGCUAAAACUCACUGGGCAGGAAAAUUCAGGACUGGACCCCAGUAUCUUUAAUUUUGAUGAAGGUUUUGUUUGAAGUCAUUUACAAUAAAAGGCAAAAUGAAUUCUAAUCUUCAAGCGAAGAAGAAGAAGGAGGAGGAGGAGGAGAAGGAGAAGAAGGAGAAGGAGAAGGAGAAGAAAUUUUAAGAUGGAGUUAUUAAAUGGCCCAGGAGAAAUAAACUCACAUCAAACGAAGCUGAGUCUGUUAUUUCUGAAAAGCCUUUUUUUCCUCUGUUCCUUAAAGAGCAAUCACACUGAUCUAGAGGGAAUUUUAUUUUUAUCCUUUCUGGCUUAACUUCUGUUUAUUGCAAAGGAGGUUAAUAUCUUCCCUAAACUUGGGUUUCGUAACACAGCAUUAGGACCUGACAACUAACAUCUUAUUGAAAUACCUGGGAUGAAACAAAACAUCAUUGGCUUGUACUUGCUCCUAUAAACCUCAGUUUUCAAAAGCUUUCCAUGUCAAUUACCUCCCAUAACAAAGCAGGUCACGCUGGCCUCCUGAUGACGCUGAGAGGGUCAUAUCAUCAGUCAGGGCCUUGCUUAGACUUCACAGUCAAAUCUAAUUUCUUGUAGUUACUCCUGAGAGUUAGGCUGCCUUAAUCAAUUGAAUUCCUGAAGAAAAUGAGGACCCCAGAAGUAAACCUGAAUUUAUUAAAAACAACCUUGCAAUCAAAAUUUCCUGCAGCUACAGGGCUUGCUAAUGCCAUUCACCCAAUACGUGCUACUCAGCAGUUUUAAGGAUGUAUUUUCUAGACUAUAUUGAGGUCUCUUCCCAUUAGAGGAAAAAUGUUGAAUGGAAUGCAAUUCAUACAAUAUUAAUCUCUUGCUCUACUUUACAGCUUAGUAAUAAAGUUAUUUAUGCUGCCAGAGGCAUUUCAUGACAUUAAUGGUGGAAAGAGAGCAGUAGACAGGUGGACUGAGUCUGUGAUGGUGACAAAGGGCGGAAUAACAGCAUCUCUCUGCAAGGCUACAGAACAGGGCCAUGAGCAAGAGGAAUGACCCUGGAAUGAAUUCUUCAUACGAUACACAGAAGAGUAAUUGAUGACUAGAUCAAUCUCUGUCCUAUCUCCUGGAACAAAUGAAUAGCAGAAAUUGUCAAUUAGAUGAACAUAGUCUAGAUGUAGGUCAACUAGCUGCCAAUCACAAAAUCUAUCUCUUUUCCAGAUCAAAUAUAUCCUUUCAGAUCUAAUUAUGUAUUCUGUGUCUAACUCUCCACAUAUUAUCACAAACUAUACUCUCAACCACACUAUGUUUAUUCACAUGGACAUAUUUUUAUCUGAUUAUGCAAUUUUAUAAACCUUUAUCUAUUCUAUUUUAUUUUUUCCUACAUCCAAUACCAACUAGAAAAUGGUAAUGCCACCUUGCCCAAGGGUUUGCUGUCUCCCACAGCAUCCGCUACAAUGGUAAAUACGAGACAGACACACACAAAGUGUCUGUAAAUAAAGAAAUACAGAGCUAACAUUUUGUCUGAUGGAAGGUUAUAAUACUGUCAUUUUCCAUGAUCAGAUGUAGACCGUUCAAAAAGAAGGGAGUCAUGCCAUAAAUAAUUCAGAACAGAAGACCUGAAAGUCAUUUAUAUUUUACUUUGAAAUGCAUUGAGGCUGGCCACAUCUUUAUAGAAAUGUGCAAAUACAAAAACAGUCCACAAAUGACGAUCUGUGUGCUGUGGUAAGCACAGAGAUGAGAAGGGUACAAGAACAUUUGUGGUUGUGUCUGAUCAGUUUUCCUCCCCAGCCAAUCCUUAUAGCAUCUUACAUCCUCCUGUGUAACUGUCUGCCCCGUCUGGUGAACUCCAACAGGAAAGCAAACUCACACAUCACUCCAGGCUCUUCCAUCUGAUUUCUCUGUUAUUAUGUGCAACCUAAAGGCUGGCACCUCAAUAACUCUUACACAACCUGCUCUCUUUCCUGCAGUUUUGAAUUUCAGACCAUGUGAUGGAAAAACAGAAACAGAGCAUUCCAGAGCCGGUAGACACUUAGCAUGCUCCUAAGGAUUUCUAGAUACCCACAUUCCCUGAGCAUCCAAUAUG
Peromyscus leucopus (white-footed mouse) is the source of this 4032-nucleotide long non-coding RNA. RefSeq lists it as uncharacterized. The record is from RefSeq and is a predicted model, not a curated record. NCBI's taxonomy places the organism in Eukaryota, Metazoa, Chordata, Mammalia, Rodentia, Cricetidae. The transcript has 3 exons.